Long non-coding RNA from Photinus pyralis (common eastern firefly), 1227 nucleotides. RefSeq lists it as uncharacterized. The transcript is spliced from 2 exons. The record is from RefSeq and is a predicted model, not a curated record. Lineage: Eukaryota; Metazoa; Arthropoda; Insecta; Coleoptera; Lampyridae.
AAAAAAAGUGCCGGUCUGAUCAAAAACUGGCAGAGGAUCUUUUUAUUCAGUUUUCAUUAUAUAACACCAUCCCACAGUCCGUGUGCGCGAAUUUUGAAACACCCUGUAUAUUAAAAUAAACCAUAUCACCUGGAUACUACAAAGAAGUUAAACCGAGUUUGAGAAACACCAUGUAAUGCUCAAAAGGUUUAAGAUAGCUAAAUUCUCUGCACCGCCCAUUUUCUAGUAAAAUUUAUUUAAUUAUUUAUUACGAGCCCCAACACAUAAAUGUUCGGACAGCUAGCAUUUUUAAAAUAAAACCGAAAAAAAAAUAAAACCAGUCCAAUGUCAAUAAAGCCGCAGAUAUGUUAUAUAGAAAUAUGUAUUAUAAGUUUAUUGUUUAUGUUAAAUACCAAAAAACAAUUUUUUUUAAUGCUCUCACAACAUGAAAAUGGGAAAACCAGCGAAAUUAACUGACACAUAAAUGUUCGGACACCACAUAUAUUUGAUAGUUUGAUCUAGGUAACAGGAUAAAAACCAAAAAAAUGAUAAUUUUUAUAACUUGUCAGCACACUUUGACAUUUUGUUAAAAGAAAAAUGGCACAUGGCAAAGCAACACCGAAGGAAAUUCGACAAUUAAUAGUAAAAUGGGUUCAUAAGGGAAAAUCCUUUAGGGCAAUAGGUCAGGAAUUCAAUUUGCCCAUGUCCACGGUGGUAGCGUCACAGCAUCAAUCGAAGUUGAAGGAAACAACACAGGAAGACGGCCAACAGUUACCCCUAGAAUGCAGAAAGCGCUGAUAACCAUUUGCAAAUCUGGACGAAGAGACACAGUACGGAAUAUUACGGUAAAAUGGAACAAAGUAACAAAUGCUCAUCUUUCUACCUAAACCUGUCGAAGGUGGAUCCACAAAUCAAGUUUACAUUUUUAUAAAGCGAAAGAAAAACAUCUUUAAAACACAAAAAUAAUAAAGAAGGGGUUGGAUUGUGUUCGGGAACGGCCGGCGUGGUCUUACCAAGACUGGUAAAAAUCAUUUUUAGUAUUGAAUCUCGAUUUGAUAUCACUGUAGGCGAUAAUCGAGAAAGAGUUACCAGAACGGAAAACAAAGCGUUUCACAAAGAUUGCUUAAAGCGUUCUGUAAAAUUCCCCAGUGGUGUACCGGUGUGGGGCAGUAUGUCUGCAAAUGGGCUGGGACAAUUGCACUUACAAAUGGUAAUGUUUAUGCUCAGAAAUAUCAAGCAAUUUUAGAA